Arvicola amphibius (Eurasian water vole) is the source of this 830-nucleotide long non-coding RNA. RefSeq lists it as uncharacterized. The transcript is spliced from 6 exons. The record is from RefSeq and is a predicted model, not a curated record. NCBI's taxonomy places the organism in Eukaryota, Metazoa, Chordata, Mammalia, Rodentia, Cricetidae.
AAAAAAUCGAGCUGGGGGGUUCCCUGGUCCCCGGCGUUGGGGCGGGGAGCGCUACGCCGAGGGAGGGGGCGGCGCAGACCCGACUAGGGGACACCUGGUCGAGCGCAGCUACCGCUCUGCUCGAGCCCUGCGCUCCAGUGCCGCCGCUGGCUGGAGAGCUCUCCCGGACCGGGGGGUCUUCCUCCGCCGCUGACAGGUAGAGAACUUGUGUCACCGGAGUGGUGUCUGAAAGGUGAACAUCUCCACGGCGGCACAAGGGCGACGCUGGCACACACACGCACGCGCAGGACACGGGGGACUGGAACCGAGGAACGGGACGGAAGGGAUAACCUGUGCGAGCGAAGCGCGACGCCGGGAUCGCGCCGAAAAAUCCCCCAAAAAUCGCCAAAAAAUAACUUAAGCCAGGAGGUAGCCGGCGGAGCUUCGGCAAGUUUGGCGCAGACGAUUUUAACCAUUAGAAGAGAACCAAUUCUGGAAAACAAGCUAAGUUUCUUUGACUGAAUACUGACAUAAUGCAUUGGAACAUGAUAGAGGAUUAAGGUUUAACAAUGAUAAAACGAAGAUACUACUAAAACAGCACUCUAAGUAGCUCAACAAUUAUUUUAGCUGGGGAAUAAUGAAGCAUUUGCUGUAUAAACAAGAAGACCUCAGUUCAAUUUCCAUCACUAAAUAGAGCAUGGUAAGUUGGUUACAGUAACACGUUUUUACUCCCAGAAAUUACAAGAUUCUAGUAUUUGCUUGAGAAUAAAUCUUUUAAAAUUUGUAUAAGUGAAGCAACUCAAAUAUAAAUUCCUCUUGACUUUAUUGUCUGAUAUGGCAAAUUCAGGAGA